Molecule: ribosomal RNA, 535 nt
Filed under: Trichoderma koningiopsis
Lineage: Eukaryota; Fungi; Ascomycota; Sordariomycetes; Hypocreales; Hypocreaceae
Description: eukaryotic LSU rRNA
Rfam family: 5.8S ribosomal RNA (bases 173-326)
Source: RNAcentral
UUCCGUAGGUGAACCUGCGGAAGGAUCAUUACCUAGAGUUGUAGGCUUUGCCUGCUAUCUCUUACCCAUGUCUUUUGAGUACCUUACGUUUCCUCGGUGGGUUCGCCCACCGAUUGGACAAAUUUAAACCCUUUGCAGUUGAAAUCAGCGUCUGAAAAAACUUAAUAGUUACAACUUUCAACAACGGAUCUCUUGGUUCUGGCAUCGAUGAAGAACGCAGCGAAAUGCGAUAAGUAGUGUGAAUUGCAGAAUUCAGUGAAUCAUCAAAUCUUUGAACGCACAUUGCGCCCCUUGGUAUUCCAUGGGGCAUGCCUGUUCGAGCGUCAUUUGUACCUUCAAGCUCUGCUUGGUGUUGGGUGUUUGUCUCCUGUAGACUCGCCUCAAAACAAUUGGCAGCCGGCGUAUUGAUUUCGGAGCGCAGUACAUCUCGCGCUUUGCACUCAUAACGACGACAUCCAAAAGUACAUUUUUACACUCUUGACCUCGGAUCAGGUAGGGAUACCCGCUGAACUUAAGCAUAUCAAUAAGCGGAGGA